UCACAGGCUGAGGAUUUCUUCAGGGGACAACUGGCUAGCUAUAGAGGUCUGUGUUGCUUUCUUCUUUAAAUGUAAUGGAUUUUAUUGUGUGAAAGUAUUGGAUAAUAUUUGUAUUGUUGUUGCGGGAGGGUUGUUUCUCUUUUUUUUUCUAACCAAUAGUUUAAAAGAAGAGAAAAGAGCAUCUUCUUCUAUAGAGAAAUUGAAAUGUAAGAAACUUUCUAUUCUGCUAUUCCAAAAGUAAAGAUGUUCUUGGGAUCAAGUCAGUACAAUGCAUAAUUUCAACAUGUCCUUGUGGGAUGAUGGGAAAGAGCCUCUUUGUGUGCCUGUCUAUGUAGUUUGCUGGUUGACAGAUAUCUCAAGAGUCGCCAUAUGCAGUACGAAGAAUUGGACAACCUAUUAUUGGAUCUUCAUCGGUUUUCAGGUGAGAAUUGUUUUUGAUGAGUUUCAGAGUACUUCCAAGAAGUUGGAAAACAACCUUUGGUCUAGGAGGAAGUCCUACCAAUUGUGAGUGAAUCCAUUAAAGAAUGAAAUUGGCUGAUGUGAUUGG
Molecule: non-coding RNA, 547 nt
Organism: Pelobates cultripes (western spadefoot toad)
Lineage: Eukaryota; Metazoa; Chordata; Amphibia; Anura; Pelobatidae
Source: the annotation of a GenBank genome assembly